This 408-nucleotide ribosomal RNA is filed under the name uncultured microorganism. RNAcentral's name for it is "bacterial SSU rRNA". It matches the Rfam family "Archaeal small subunit ribosomal RNA", at positions 459 to 872 of the family's 1478-position model. The record is from RNAcentral.
CAGCCGCCGCGGUAAUACCGGCGGCCCGAGUGGCGGUCACUCUUAUUGGGCUUAAAACGUCCGUAGCCGGGGUGGGAAGUCCUCCGGGAAAUCUGGCCGCUUAACGGGCAGAAUGCCGGAGGAUACUCCCAGCCUAGGGAGCGGGAGAGGCCGAGGGUAUUCCCGGAGUAGGGGGGAAAACCUAUAAUCCCGGGAGGACCACCUGUGGCGAAGGCGCUCGGCUGGAACGCGUCCGACGGUGAGGGACGAAGGCCAGGGGAGCAAACCGGAUUAGAUACCCGGGUAGUCCUGGCUGUAAACGGUGGGCACUAGGUGUGGGGGGUUAAUCCCUCCGUGCCGAAGCUAACGCAUUAAGUGCCCCGCCUGGGGAGUACGGCCGCAAGGUUGAAACUUAAAGGAAUUGGCGGG